UCGACGGUGAGGGGUGAAAGCUGGGGGAGCAAACCGGAUUAGAUACCCGGGUAGUCCCAGCUGUAAACUAUGCAAACUCAGUGAUGCAUUGGCUUGUGGCCAAUGCAGUGCUGCAGGGAAGCCGUUAAGUUUGCCGCCUGGGAAGUACGUACGCAAGUAUGAAACUUAAAGGAAUUGGCGGGGGAGCACCACAAGGGGUGAAGCCUGCGGUUCAAUUGGAGUCAACGCCAGAAAUCUUACCCGGAGAGACAGCAGAAUGAAGGUCAAGCUGAAGACUUUACCAGACAAGCUGAGAGGUGGUGCAUGGCCGUCGCCAGCUCGUGCCGUGAGAUGUCCUGUUAAGUCAGGUAACGAGCGAGAUCCCUGCCUCUAGUUGCCACCAUUACUCUCAGGAGUAGUGGGGCGAAUUAGCGGGACCGCCGCAGUUAAUGCGGAGGAAGGAAGGGGCCACGGCAGGUCAGUAUGCCCCGAAACUCUGGGGCCACACGCGGGCUGCAAUGGUAGCGACAAUUGGUUUCGAAUCCGAAAGGAUGAGGUAAUCCACAAACGCUACCACAGUUAUGACUGAGGGCUGCAACUCGCCCUCACGAAUAUGGAAUCCCUAGUAACUGCGUGUCAUUAUCGCGCGGUGAAUACGUCCCUGCUCCUUGCACACACCGCCCCU
Molecule: ribosomal RNA, 664 nt
Filed under: uncultured archaeon
Lineage: Archaea
Description: bacterial SSU rRNA
Rfam family: Archaeal small subunit ribosomal RNA
Source: RNAcentral